GGGGCGGCAGGGUAGCCUAGUGGUUAGAGUGUAGAGGAGGCAGGGUAGCCUAGUGGUUAGAGUGGAGAGGUGGCAGGGUAGCCUAGUGGUUAGAGUGGAGGGGCGGCAGGGUAGCCUAGUGGUUAGAGUGGAGGGGCGGCAGGGUAGCCUAGUGGGUAGAGUGGAGCCUAGUGGUUAGAGUGGAGGGGCGGCAGGGUAGCCUAGUGGUUAGAGUGGAGGGGCGGCAGGGUAGCCUAGUGGUUAGAGUGGAGGGGCGGCAGGGUAGCCUAGUGGUUAGAGUGGAGGGGCGGCAGGGUAGCCUAGUGGUUAGAGUGGAGGGGCGGCAGG
Long non-coding RNA from Oncorhynchus tshawytscha (Chinook salmon), 327 nucleotides. The record is from Ensembl. Lineage: Eukaryota; Metazoa; Chordata; Actinopteri; Salmoniformes; Salmonidae.